Podarcis muralis (Common wall lizard) is the source of this 862-nucleotide long non-coding RNA. RefSeq lists it as uncharacterized. NCBI's taxonomy places the organism in Eukaryota, Metazoa, Chordata, Lepidosauria, Squamata, Lacertidae. The record is from RefSeq and is a predicted model, not a curated record.
GGGAUAUUGAUUCACACUGAACAGAUGCAGCAGUUAUAUCUGUAGGGAAAACAUAGCUGUUGCUUGCAGUUUGGCACCACACUGUAUAGUAUUUGGGAAAUUUCUCAUUUCAAGCUAAAGGCUGGUUUAAAUUGGACUGGGAGAUGCACAGGCCCCUAAUAUAUAGUAUAGACAAGAACAGGUUUUUGCAAACCAAAAGGCCCCAAGGGCCUCUCUAUCCACCAAGCCACACCCCUAAUGGGCCUUGCUCUGGGCCUUCAAGUGCUCUUGCCUGGCCAGAAUGUGUUCUUCAACUAUUAUAAUGCCUCUUUGCUGACUUGGAUGGAGAAGGAAAAGAGAUGUAGACAUGGCAGGGCAGGAACAUAGCCCUCCCUACAAAGAUUAAUCUGGAAAUGGGCUGGAGUGCACUUAUGAAUGAACAUAAACAACAGUGACAUGGGGUAGAAAUGAGACUAAUAUGUCCACUUUCUGGGAACUACUGGGCCCCACUGCUUCAGACAUGAGAACCAGAGGGAAAAUGGAAAUCAAGGAAGAACACUACCUUGAGAACAUAAAACCAGGAUCAGAUUAUAAACUUAAUCCCAGGAACAUAAGCCUUCAGAAAAAAAUUCCUGGAUUGAAGUUGCUUCAGUUUUGGAGAUCCGAAUCUGACCCUCCAUUUCCACCCUGCAAACAAUAUCUUAAGGAAGCGAGUGUGACAGAAAAAUCUUGCAUCAUUAAAAGUAAUGCCUCUUCAUAAAAAUAGUCAUACAUAUUGCCCGUUGUUUCUGAACAUGAAUUCAAUCAUCUUUUGAAAUAGGUAUGCCUGAGCAAACUUCCCAGAUUUUAAUUUCAAAGGCAAUAUUACAUGCUGUUUUCCACA